CCUAAAGCCGCCCAGCCAGGAAAAACGCCGAGUCCUGGAGCCCCCGGCCGGUCCCGAGCCUGAAAUUGGGGUGCUGUACUGGGACCAGUAAGGGAUUGGCACUGGGGAUACUGGGAACCGCAGGGUAGGACCCUACGUAUACUGGGGACCAGUAAGGGACCGGCACGGGGGACACUGGGGACCAGUAAGGAACUGGCACUGGGGACAUCAGGAGCCACAGGGUAGGAACCCCAUGUGUACUGGGGACCAGUAAGGGACAGGUACUGGGGACACUGGGGACCAGUAAGGGACUGGCACUGGGCGUAGUGGGGGCCGCAGGCAUUGAUGGAGGUGCCAGGAUCACGGCUCCAGGUGUGCUGGGACCAGUAAGCGCUUGGCACUGGGAGAAGCAGGAUGGGCCCGGGGAAAGCCCCGGGGGGAUGGGCCCGGGCUGGGGCCAACACCCAGCCCAGGAUUUUCCUUUGGCUCCGGCACUGUGAGGGGAUUCGGGAGACUUGAGCCGGAGCAGAGAGAAGAUUAAUCAGGAUUAUUGCGAUAUUAACUGGAAUAUUAACUGGGGAAACUGAGGGGAAACUGAGGCACGGAGUGGAGCCAACCCUCUGUCCCCACGAGCCUCCACCGCCCUCCCCGGGGCUUUUCCGAGCUCGCUUCGAAUCCGUCGCUCUCGUCCCUUUCGUUUCCUGUUUCGGAGGUUUCGCUCGUCGCUCACAAGCCGAAGGGGAAAUUCCCACCCCAAAUUUGCUGCUGCUCGGCUUUCAGGACCUGCCGCUCUCAGCUCGGCGUCACCGCGGCCACCGGGCAGGGCCAGCACGGUCCCACCGCGGUGCUCGCUCCCUCUCCUGCCCCCUGCCCAGGUGUGAUGGAGAUGCAGGAGGUGUUCCUGCAGCUCUGGGGGGAGGUGGCCAGGCUGCAGGAGCUGUGCUCGGAGCAGGGGCGGCUCCUCCGGAGGCUGAGGGCCAGGAAGGGACCGGUCCUGGACAUCCCGGUGUCGCUGCCUGUCCAGUGCACGGAGGAUGUGGGGACAGGGGACGGGCAAAGGUCACCUGAGAGCAGCCAAAACCACCCAGGAGUUCCGACAUCCAAAACACCCCACCUGGAGGGCUCUGCUUGUCCCGUGGGACAGCCCCAGGCCACCAACAGGCUCCCCCCCAGCCCUGGGCACGGCGCAGGAGCCGCAGGUCCUGGCAGCACCGAGGGGGACAAGGGGGAAGCCCCUGCCCGGAGAAGAACCCGGAUCCUCCCGGUCCCAUGGGAAGGAGGGAGAGCUCCCUGCAGCCCUCGGGAGCUGGAGACACUAAAUCCAGGGCCUGGGGACCCCUUCCCAAAUCUUCUGGAUCUCUACGAAGCCCCGGAAGCGCUUGAGAGGGAAGAGGCUCCCAAGGAUGUGGCUCUGGUGGAGAUCCGAGGGCCUGUGAAGACCUGCUGGACUCCGGGCUGGGUGCUGGAGGAGGGGAUGCUCAGCCCCAGCACUGAGGCUGCCCCGGGCUGUGAGCUGUGCCAGGACAUUCUCCCCUCGGAGGCAGCGGGACACGCGGAGUAUCUGAGCCACCUUCUGCUCCACCUGGAGUAGGACUCGUCCUCCCAGAGGGAAAUCCAUGGAUUUGCACCCUGAGCCACGGGACAAACUCUGGACAUUCCCAUCUCCAUGGGACAGACUCUGGACGUUACUACGGGACAGACUCUGGACAUUUCCCAUCUCCACAGGACAGACUCUGGACAUUCCCAUCUCCACAGGACAGACUCUGGACAUUCCCAUCUCCACAGGACAGACUCUGGACAUUCCCAUCUCCACAGGACAGACUCUGGACAUUCCCAUCUCCACAGGACAGACUCUGGACAUUUCCAAGUUGGGCUCAAUGGCCUUGGGGGGCUCCUCCAGCCCUGGAGCUGAUGAGGAUUCUGGGGUCCUGCUGCUGGUUUGGACUGGGAGCAGUUUCCAUGUUCCCUGUCUUUCUCCAUUCUCCUGGGAAUGUGGUCCCAGCUUUGGAUCACCCUGGUGUUUUGGGUUAUUGAUUGAUCCCUGUGGAUAUCGAAGCCGAUCCCAUCCUGGGUCUGGAGGUGUGAGGGGGAGCUGCAGCUCCUGGGAAUUCCUCAAAAUUUGCCUUUGACUGACUGGAAAUGAAUCUUCCACAAACAGUAGGGAUGCUUGGGAAGGCAAGUUGGUUUUUUCUAGGACUUUGGAAGGUUGGGUGGGAGAAUCUCAAGGUUUUUGGGGCCACUAAGAGUUAUUUUAAUUCAUUAACAGGAAUUUGAGUGUUUUAUAGCAUUUCCAUCAGUGGUAUCCAAUGUGUUUCCCAAAAUGGGGAAAUUGAAACACAAAGCCUCAGUUUCCAGUCCCUCUUUUCCUUUGGAAAAAUCUCAUCUCAGGCUUUUCUAUUUUGCACAUUUCUCCCA
Molecule: long non-coding RNA, 2394 nt
Organism: Serinus canaria (Common canary)
Lineage: Eukaryota; Metazoa; Chordata; Aves; Passeriformes; Fringillidae
Source: Ensembl